RNAcentral lists this ribosomal RNA (431 nucleotides) under uncultured bacterium. Its description in RNAcentral is "bacterial SSU rRNA". It matches the Rfam family "Bacterial small subunit ribosomal RNA", at positions 354 to 777 of the family's 1533-position model. The record is from RNAcentral.
GUGGGGAAUAUUGCGCAAUGGGCGAAAGCCUGACGCAGCGACGCCGCGUGAGGGAUGAAGGUCUUCGGAUCGUAAACCUCUGUCAGAAGGGAAAAAUGUACAGUGCUCCAAUCAACAUUGUAUUGAUGGUACCUUCAGAGGAAGCACCGGCUAACUCCGUGCCAGCAGCCGCGGUAAUACGGAGGGUGCAAGCGUUAAUCGGAAUUACUGGGCGUAAAGCGCGCGUAGGUUGUUUUGUAAGUCAGAGGUGUAAUCCCACGGCUUAACCGUGGAACUGCCUUUGAUACUGCAUAACUUGGAUCCGGGAGAGGACAGCGGAAUUCCAGGUGUAGGAGUGAAAUCCGUAGAUAUCUGGAAGAACAUCAGUGGCGAAGGCGGCUGUCUGGACCGGUAUUGACGCUGAGGCGCGAAAGCGUGGGUAGCAAACAGGA